Molecule: ribosomal RNA, 492 nt
Filed under: uncultured bacterium
Lineage: Bacteria
Description: partial 16S ribosomal RNA
Rfam family: Bacterial small subunit ribosomal RNA
Source: RNAcentral
AGUGAACGCUGGCGGUAGGCCUAACACAUGCAAGUCGAACGGCAGCACAGUAAGAGCUUGCUCUUACGGGUGGCGAGUGGCGGACGGGUGAGGAAUACAUCGGAAUCUACUUUUUCGUGGGGGAUAACGUAGGGGAACUUACGCUAAUACCGCAUACGACCUACGGGUGAAAGCAGGGGAUCUUCGGACCUUGCGCGAUUGAAUGAGCCGAUGUCGGAUUAGCUAGUUGGCGGGGUAAAGGCCCACCAAGGCGACGAUCCGUAGCUGGUCUGAGAGGAUGAUCAGCCACACUGGAACUGAGACACGGUCCAGACUCCUACGGGAGGCAGCAGUGGGGAAUAUUGGACAAUGGGCGCAAGCCUGAUCCAGCCAUACCGCGUGGGUGAAGAAGGCCUUCGGGUUGUAAAGCCCUUUUGUUGGGAAAGAAAAGCAGCAGGUUAAUACCCCGCUGUUCUGACGGUACCCAAGGAAUAAGCACCGGCUAACUUCGUG